This 85-nucleotide transfer RNA is filed under the name Chara vulgaris. RNAcentral's name for it is "tRNA-Ser". It matches the Rfam family "tRNA". Rfam says of the family: Transfer RNA (tRNA) molecules are approximately 80 nucleotides in length. Their secondary structure includes four short double-helical elements and three loops (D, anti-codon, and T loops). Lineage: Eukaryota; Viridiplantae; Streptophyta; Charophyceae; Charales; Characeae. The record is from RNAcentral. RNAcentral also lists the same sequence under 1 other name.
GGAUGGAUGUCUGAGUGGUUGAAGGUAUCAGUCUUGAAAACUGACAUAUUACAAAAUAUCGGGGGUUCGAAUCCCUCUCCAUCCG